Molecule: ribosomal RNA, 266 nt
Filed under: uncultured bacterium
Lineage: Bacteria
Description: partial 16S ribosomal RNA
Rfam family: Bacterial small subunit ribosomal RNA
Source: RNAcentral
UAUGGCGACCGGCGCACGGGUGAGUAACACGUAUCCAACCUGCCGAUGACUCGGGGAUAGCCUUUCGAAAGAAAGAUUAAUACCCGAUGACAUAGUUCUUCCGCAUGGUAGAACUAUUAAAGAAUUUCGGUCAUCGAUGGGGAUGCGUUCCAUUAGCUUGUUGGCGGGGUAACGGCCCACCAAGGCAUCGAUGGAUAGGGGUUCUGAGAGGAAGGUCCCCCACAUUGGAACUGAGACACGGUCCAAACUCCUACGGGAGGCAGCAG